RNAcentral lists this ribosomal RNA (970 nucleotides) under Lactococcus lactis subsp. lactis. Its description in RNAcentral is "bacterial SSU rRNA". It matches the Rfam family "Bacterial small subunit ribosomal RNA", at positions 606 to 1491 of the family's 1533-position model. Lineage: Bacteria; Bacillati; Bacillota; Bacilli; Lactobacillales; Streptococcaceae. The record is from RNAcentral.
GGCUCAGGAUUCUAUUUGCGUGUAAUACGAGAAUCCACGUCGGUUUUUCUACUGUCUGGUGCAGAAGCGCCAGUGCAUUCAACCCAGUUUUUCAUCUGAAACUGGUAAGACCUCGACGCCAGGUGAGAGAAGCGUAUUCCAUGUGUAGCCGUGAAAUGAGUAGCUUAUAUGGUAGUACUCUGGUGGUGAAAGGGGGUCUGUUGGCCUGUAAUUGACAUUGAGGCUCGAAAGCGUGGGGAGCAAACAGGAUUAGAUACCGCCCGUAGUUCACGCAGUCAGCGAUGAGUGCUAGAUGUAGGUAGGUACAUGUUCUUUGUAUAGCAGGCAAUGCAAUUACCACUCCCUCCUGCGGGAGUGCGACCGCAUCGUAGGUAUUCAAAGGAAGUUGACGGGGGCCCGCCCCCACAGGCGGAGCAGCUUGUUUUUUUUUUUAGAAACGCGAAGAACAUCCUCACCUGGUUUUGACAUACUGGUGUUCUUCGUGGAGAUAAGAAGUUCCUGCGCGACACGGGAUACAGGUGGUGCAUGGUUGUCGUCAGCUCGUGUCGUGAGAUGUUGGGUUAAGUCCCGCAACGAGCGCAACCCCUAUUGUUAGUUGCCAUCAUUAAGUUGGGCACUCUAACGAGACUGCCGGUGAUAAACCGGAGGAAGGUGGGGAUGACGUCAAAUCAUCAUGCCCCUUAUGACCUGGGCUACACACGUGCUACAAUGGAUGGUACAACGAGUCGCGAGACAGUGAUGUUUAGCUAAUCUCUUAAAACCAUUCUCAGUUCGGAUUGUAGGCUGCAACUCGCCUACAUGAAGUCGGAAUCGCUAGUAAUCGCGGAUCAGCACGCCGCGGUGAAUACGUUCCCGGGCCUUGUACACACCGCCCGUCACACCACGGGAGUUGGGAGUACCCGAAGUAGGUUGCCUAACCGCAAGGAGGGCGCUUCCUAAGGUAAGACCGAUGACUGGGGUGAAGUCGUAA